GGCCUACGGGGGGCAGCAGUGAGGAAUAUUGGUCAAUGGGCGCGAGCCUGAACCAGCCAAGUCGCGUGAGGGAUGACGGCCCUACGGGUUGUAAACCUCUUUUGUCGGGGAGCAAAUUCCGUUACGUGUAACGGAGUCGAGAGUACCCGAAGAAAAAGCAUCGGCUAACUCCGUGCCAGCAGCCGCGGUAAUACGGAGGAUGCGAGCGUUAUCCGGAUUUAUUGGGUUUAAAGGGUGCGCAGGCGGAGGUGCAAGUCAGCGGUCAAAUUGCGGGGCUCAACCCCGUACUGCCGUUGAAACUGCAA
This 305-nucleotide ribosomal RNA is filed under the name uncultured bacterium. RNAcentral's name for it is "bacterial SSU rRNA". It matches the Rfam family "Bacterial small subunit ribosomal RNA", at positions 335 to 638 of the family's 1533-position model. The record is from RNAcentral.